RNAcentral lists this ribosomal RNA (874 nucleotides) under Pseudophialophora tarda. RNAcentral's name for it is "LSU rRNA". It matches the Rfam family "Eukaryotic large subunit ribosomal RNA", at positions 61 to 965 of the family's 3401-position model. Lineage: Eukaryota; Fungi; Ascomycota; Sordariomycetes; Magnaporthales; Magnaporthaceae. The record is from RNAcentral.
GAAACCAACAGGGAUUGCCCUAGUAACGGCGAGUGAAGCGGCAACAGCUCAAAUUUGAAAUCUGGCCCUAGGCCCGAGUUGUAAUUUGUAGAGGAUGCUUUUGGUGACGCGCCUACCGAGUCCCCUGGAAUGGGGCGCCACAGAGGGUGAGAGCCCCGUAUGGUUUGCCGCCGAGCCUCUGUAAAGCUCCUUCGACGAGUCGAGUAGUUUGGGAAUGCUGCUCUAAAUGGGAGGUAAAUUUCUUCUAAAGCUAAAUACCGGCCAGAGACCGAUAGCGCACAAGUAGAGUGAUCGAAAGAUGAAAAGCACUUUGAAAAGAGGGUUAAAUAGCACGUGAAAUUGUUGAAAGGGAAGCGCUUGUGACCAGACUCGCGCCGGGCGGAUCAUCCAGCGUUCUCGCUGGUGCACUCCGCCCGGCUCGGGCCAGCAUCGGUUUUCGCCGGGGGACAAAAGCCUCGGGAACGUGGCCCCCUUCGGGGGGUGUUAUAGCCCGUGGCACAAUACCCCGGCGGGGACCGAGGACCGCGCUUCGGCAAGGAUGCUGGCGUAAUGGUCACCAGCGACCCGUCUUGAAACACGGACCGAGGAGUCAAGCAUUAGUGCGAGUGUUUGGGUGUAAAACCCGCACGCGUAAUGAAAGUGAACGUAGGUGAGAGCUUCGGCGCAUCAUCGACCGAUCCUGAAGUUUACGGAUGGAUUUGAGUAGGAGCAUUAACGCUUGGACCCGAAAGAUGGUGAACUAUACUUGAAUAGGGUGAAGCCAGAGGAAACUCUGGUGGAGGCUCGCAGCGGUUCUGACGUGCAAAUCGAUCGUCAAAUUUGAGUAUAGGGGCGAAAGACUAAUCGAACCAUCUAGUAGCUGGUUACCGCCGAG